RNAcentral lists this unclassified non-coding RNA (575 nucleotides) under Acremonium egyptiacum. RNAcentral's name for it is "sequence contains 18S rRNA gene, ITS1, 5.8S rRNA gene, ITS2, 28S rRNA gene". The stretch from base 201 to 354 matches the Rfam family "5.8S ribosomal RNA". Lineage: Eukaryota; Fungi; Ascomycota; Sordariomycetes; Hypocreales; Bionectriaceae. The record is from RNAcentral.
UCGUAACAAGGUCUCCGUUGGUGAACCAGCGGAGGGAUCAUUACCGAGUGUAAAAACUCCCAAACCAUUGUGAACCUACCACUGUUGCUUCGGCGGCCUCGCCCCGGGCGCGUUCGCGCGGCCCGGACCCAGGCGUCCGCCGGAGGCUCCAAACUCUUGUCUUUUAGUGUAUUUCUGAGUGGCAUAAGCAAAUAAAUCAAAACUUUCAGCAACGGAUCUCUUGGUUCUGGCAUCGAUGAAGAACGCAGCAAAAUGCGAUAAGUAAUGUGAAUUGCAGAAUUCAGUGAAUCAUCGAAUCUUUGAACGCACAUUGCGCCCGCCAGUAUUCUGGCGGGCAUGCCUGUCUGAGCGUCAUUUCAACCCUCAGGACCCGUUCGCGGGACCUGGCGUUGGGGAUCAGCCUGCCCCUGGCGGCGGCUGGCCCUGAAAUCCAGUGGCGGUUCCCUCGCGAACUCCUCCGUGCAGUAAUUAAACCUCUCGCGGCAGGAUAGCGGUUGAACCACGCCGUUAAACCCCCCACUUCUCAAGGUUGACCUCAGAUCAGGUAGGAAUACCCGCUGAACCUAAGCAUAUCA